GAUGAACGCUGGCGGCGUGUCUAAUACAUGCAAGUCGAGCGAACGGACGAGAAGCUUGCUUCUCUGAUGUUAGCGGCGGACGGGUGAGUAACACGUGGAUAACCUACCUAUAAGACUGGGAUAACUUCGGGAAACCGUAGCUAAUACCGGAUAAUAUUUUGAACCGCAUGGUUCAAAAGUGAAAGACGGUCUUGCUGUCACUUAUAGAUGGAUCCGCGCUGCAUUAGCUAGUUGGUAAGGUAACGGCUUACCAAGGCAACGAUGCAUAGCCGACCUGAGAGGGUGAUCGGCCACACUGGAGCUGAGACACGGUCCAGACUCCUACGGGAGGCAGCAGUAGGGAAUCUUCCGCAAUGGGCGAAAGCCUGACGGAGCAACGCCGCGUGAGUGAUGAAGGUCUUCGGAUCGUAAAACUCUGUUAUUAGGGAAGAACAUAUGUGUAAGUAACUGUGCACAUCUUGACGGUACCUAAUCAGAAAGCCACGGCUAACUACGUG
This 497-nucleotide ribosomal RNA is filed under the name uncultured bacterium. RNAcentral describes it as "partial 16S ribosomal RNA". It matches the Rfam family "Bacterial small subunit ribosomal RNA", at positions 28 to 507 of the family's 1533-position model. The record is from RNAcentral.